This 443-nucleotide ribosomal RNA is filed under the name uncultured bacterium. RNAcentral describes it as "partial 16S ribosomal RNA". It matches the Rfam family "Bacterial small subunit ribosomal RNA", at positions 338 to 795 of the family's 1533-position model. The record is from RNAcentral.
CCUACGGGGGGCAGCAGUGGGGAAUAUUGGACAAUGGGGGGAACCCUGAUCCAGCGACGCCGCGUGAGUGAAGAAGUAUUUCGGUAUGUAAAGCUCUAUCAGCAGGGAAGAAAGAAAUGACGGUACCUGACUAAGAAGCCCCGGCUACCUACGUGCCAGCAGCCGCGGUAAGACGUAGGGGGCAAGCGUUAUCCGGAUUUACGGGGAGGAAAGGGAGCGUAGACGGCAGUGCAAGUCGGGAUUGAAAGGCGGGGGCUCAACCCCCGGACUGCUCUUGAACCUGUACGGCUGGAGUGCAGGAGAGGUAAGUGGAAUUCCUAGUGUAGCGGUGAAAUGCGUAGAUAUUAGGAGGAACACCAAUGGCGAAGGCGGCUUACUGGACUGUAACUGACGUUGAGGCUCGAAAGCGUGGGGAGCAAACAGGAUUAGAUACCCUUGUAGUC